Molecule: ribosomal RNA, 468 nt
Filed under: uncultured bacterium
Lineage: Bacteria
Description: partial 16S ribosomal RNA
Rfam family: Bacterial small subunit ribosomal RNA
Source: RNAcentral
GACGAACGCUGGCGGCGUGCUUAACACAUGCAAGUCGAACGGAAAGGCCCUGCUUUUGUGGGGUGCUCGAGUGGCGAAAGGGUGAGUAACACGUGAGUAACCUGCCCUUGACUUUGGGAUAACUUCAGGAAACUGGGGCUAAUACCGGAUAGGAGCUCCUGCUGCAUGGUGGGGGUUGGAAAGUUUCGGCGGCUGGGGAUGGACUCGCGGCUUAUCAGAUUGUUGGUGGGGUAGUGGCUUACCAAGGCUUUGACGGGUAGCCGGCCUGGGAGGGUGACCGGACACACUGGGACUGAGAUACGGCCCAGACUCCUACGGGAGGCAGCAGUGGGGAAUAUUGCACAAUGGGAGGAAGCCUGAUGCAGCAACGCCGCGUGCGGGAUGACGGCAUUCGGGUUGUAAUCCGCUUCCGCCUGUGACGAAGCGUGAGUGACGGUAAUGGGUAAAGAAGCACCGGCUAACUACGUG